CCAGUCAAGCCUCUCAAAGAUGCUCAAAUGGCUGGC
This 36-nucleotide non-coding RNA is filed under the name unclassified sequences. RNAcentral's name for it is "abiF RNA". It matches the Rfam family "abiF RNA". The record is from Rfam by way of RNAcentral.